AUGUUUCCCGAGAGAGACUGCCUUCUCUCAGGCCAACAGUCUUAUACUUAUAGUCGACUGCUCUAUGACGAUUUGAGCUCUUUCCUGGGCUCUGCUUGCUCGUCUACGCUCCGACCAAUUUAGUCAAAAUCGAAAAAACGAUGUUUCCUUGAAAAAGUCUAA
Molecule: ribosomal RNA, 162 nt
Filed under: Triticum aestivum (bread wheat)
Lineage: Eukaryota; Viridiplantae; Streptophyta; Magnoliopsida; Poales; Poaceae
Description: partial small subunit ribosomal RNA
Source: RNAcentral